AUUGAACGCUGGCGGCAUGCCUUACACAUGCAAGUCGAACGGCAGCAUGAUCUAGCUUGCUAGAUUGAUGGCGAGUGGCGAACGGGUGGGUAAUACAUCGGAACGUGCCCUGUAGUGGGGGAUAACUAGUCGAAAGAUUAGCUAAUACCGCAUACGACCUGAGGGUGAAAGUGGGGGACCGCAAGGCCUCAUGCUAUAGGAGCGGCCGAUGUCUGAUUAGCUAGUUGGUGAGGUAAAGGCUCACCAAGGCGACGAUCAGUAGCUGGUCUGAGAGGACGAUCAGCCACACUGGGACUGAGACACGGCCCAGACUCCUACGGGAGGCAGCAGUGGGGAAUUUUGGACAAUGGGCGAAAGCCUGAUCCAGCAAUGCCGCGUGUGUGAAGAAGGCCUUCGGGUUGUAAAGCACUUUUGUCCGGAAAGAAAUGGCUCUGGUUAAUACCUGGGGUCGAUGACGGUACCGGAAGAAUAAGGACCGGCUAACUACGUG
Molecule: ribosomal RNA, 490 nt
Filed under: uncultured bacterium
Lineage: Bacteria
Description: partial 16S ribosomal RNA
Rfam family: Bacterial small subunit ribosomal RNA
Source: RNAcentral